This 326-nucleotide ribosomal RNA is filed under the name uncultured bacterium. RNAcentral describes it as "bacterial SSU rRNA". It matches the Rfam family "Bacterial small subunit ribosomal RNA", at positions 18 to 344 of the family's 1533-position model. The record is from RNAcentral.
CCUUUCUCAUAUUUAACUCUGUCGGCAGGCUUAACACAUGCAAGUCGAGCGGGGGAGGUUGCUUCGGUAACUGACCUAGCGGCGGACGGGUGAGUAAUACUUAGGAAUCUGCCUAUUAAUGGGGGACAACAUCUCGAAAGGGAUGCUAAUACCGCAUACGCCCUACGGGGGAAAGCAGGGGAUCACUUGUGACCUUGCGUUAAUAGAUGAGCCUAAGUCGGAUUAGCUAGUUGGUGGGGUAAAGGCCUACCAAGGCGACGAUCUGUAGCGGGUCUGAGAGGAUGAUCCGCCACACUGGGACUGAGACACGGCCCAGACUCCUACGG